GACGAACGCUGGCGGCGUGCAUAACACAUGCAAGUCGAACGGAAAGGCCCUGCUUUUGUGGGGUGCUCGAGUGGCGAACGGGUGAGUAACACGUGAGUAACCUGCCCUUGACUUUGGGAUAACUUCAGGAAACUGGGGCUAAUACCGGAUAGGAGCUCCUGCUGCAUGGUGGGGGUUGGAAAGUUUCGGCGGUUGGGGAUGGACUCGCGGCUUAUCAGCUUGUUGGUGGGGUAGUGGCUUACCAAGGCUUUGACGGGUAGCCGGCCUGAGAGGGUGACCGGCCACAUUGGGACUGAGAUACGGCCCAGACUCCUACGGGAGGCAGCAGUGGGGAAUAUUGCACAAUGGGCGGAAGCCUGAUGCAGCAACGCCGCGUGCGGGAUGACGGCCUUCGGGUUGUAAACCGCUUUCGCCUGUGACGAGGCGUGAGUGACGGUAAUGGGUAAAGAAGCACCGGCUAACUACGUG
This 468-nucleotide ribosomal RNA is filed under the name uncultured bacterium. RNAcentral's name for it is "partial 16S ribosomal RNA". It matches the Rfam family "Bacterial small subunit ribosomal RNA", at positions 28 to 507 of the family's 1533-position model. The record is from RNAcentral.